GCCUGGGUGGCUCAGCCGGUUAAGCAUCUGACUUCGGCUUAGGUGAUGAUCUCACGGUCCGUGGGUUCGAGCCCCACGUCGGGCU
Molecule: transfer RNA, 85 nt
Filed under: Felis catus (domestic cat)
Lineage: Eukaryota; Metazoa; Chordata; Mammalia; Carnivora; Felidae
Also listed under: 2 other names
Rfam family: tRNA
About the family: Transfer RNA (tRNA) molecules are approximately 80 nucleotides in length. Their secondary structure includes four short double-helical elements and three loops (D, anti-codon, and T loops).
Source: Rfam by way of RNAcentral